UCGCUACUACCGAUUGAAUGGCUUAGUGAGCCCCAGGGACUGGCGCAUUUUGUUGGGUUCCUUCAAAGCGCUGCCGGAAACUGGGUCAAACUUGAUCAUUUAGAGGAAGUAA
This 112-nucleotide ribosomal RNA is filed under the name uncultured eukaryote. RNAcentral's name for it is "partial small subunit ribosomal RNA". It matches the Rfam family "Eukaryotic small subunit ribosomal RNA", at positions 1676 to 1785 of the family's 1831-position model. The record is from RNAcentral.